CGGGGGGGCGAAGCGUUGUUCGGAAUUACUGGGCGUAAAGGGCUCGUAGGCGGCCAACUAAGUCGGACGUGAAAUCCCCAGGCUCAACCUGGGAACUGCGUCCGAUACUGGAUGGCUUGAAUCCGGGAGAGGGAUGCAGAAUUCCAGGUGUAGCGGUGAAAUGCGUAGAUAUCUGGAGGAAUACCGGUGGCGAAGGCGGCAUCCUGGACCGGCAUUGACGCUGAGGAGCGAAAGCCAGGGGAGCAAACGGGAUUAGAUACCCCGGUAGUCCUGGCCCUAAACGAUGAAUGCUUGGUGUGACGGGUAUCGAUCCCUGUCGUGCCGAAGCUAACGCAUUAAGCAUUCCGCCUGGGGAGUACGGUCGCAAGGCUG
RNAcentral lists this ribosomal RNA (372 nucleotides) under uncultured organism. Its description in RNAcentral is "bacterial SSU rRNA". It matches the Rfam family "Bacterial small subunit ribosomal RNA", at positions 526 to 896 of the family's 1533-position model. The record is from RNAcentral.